Molecule: ribosomal RNA, 949 nt
Filed under: Arachnopeziza aurata
Lineage: Eukaryota; Fungi; Ascomycota; Leotiomycetes; Helotiales; Arachnopezizaceae
Description: partial 18S small subunit ribosomal RNA
Rfam family: Eukaryotic small subunit ribosomal RNA
Source: RNAcentral
UUAUUUGAUAGUACCUUACUACUUGGAUAACCGUGGUAAUUCUAGAGCUAAUACAUGCUAAAAACCCCGACUUCGGAAGGGGUGUAUUUAUUAGAUAAAAAACCAAUGCCCUUCGGGGCUCCUUGGUGAUUCAUAAUAACUUAACGAAUCGCAUAGCCUUGUGCUGGCGAUGGUUCAUUCAAAUUUCUGCCCUAUCAACUUUCGAUGGUAGGUUAGUGGCCUACCAUGGUUUCAACGGGUAACGGGGAAUUAGGGUUCGACUCCGGAGAGGGAGCCUGAGAAACGGCUACCACAUCCAAGGAAGGCAGCAGGCGCGCAAAUUACCCAAUCCGACACGGGGAGGUAGUGACAAUAAAUACUGAUACAGGGCUCUUUUGGGUCUUGUAAUUGGAAUGAGUGACAAUUUAAAUCCCUUAACGAGGAACAAUUNNNNNNNNNNNNNNNNNNNNNNNNNNNNNGGUAAUUCCAGCUCCAAUAGCGUAUAUUAAAGUUGUUGCAGUUAAAAAGCUCGUAGUUGAACCUUGGGCCUGGCUGGCNGUCCGCCUCACCUGCGUGCACUGGUCCGGCCGGGCCUUUCCUUCUGGGGAACCCUAUGCCCUUCAUUGGGUGUAGUGGGGAACCAGGACUUUUACUUUGAAAAAAUUAGAGUGUUCAAGCAGGCAUAUGCUCGAAUACAUUAGCAUGGAAUAAUAGAAUAGGACGUGUGGUUCUAUUUUGUUGGUUUCUAGGACCGCCGUAAUGAUUAAUAGGGAUAGUCGGGGGCAUCAGUAUUCAAUUGUCAGAGGUGAAAUUCUUGGAUUUAUUGAAGACUAACUACUGCGAAAGCAUUUGCCAAGGAUGUUUUCAUUAAUCAGUGAACGAAAGUUAGGGGAUCNGAAGACGAUCAGAUACCGUCGUAGUCUUAACCAUAAACUAUGCCGACUAGGGAUCGGGCGGUGUUAUCUGUAGU